Molecule: ribosomal RNA, 1479 nt
Filed under: Ureaplasma canigenitalium
Lineage: Bacteria; Bacillati; Mycoplasmatota; Mycoplasmoidales; Mycoplasmoidaceae
Description: 16S ribosomal RNA
Rfam family: Bacterial small subunit ribosomal RNA
Source: RNAcentral
GAGUUUGAUCCUGGCUCAGGAUUAACGCUGGCGGCAUGCCUAAUACAUGCAAAUCGAACGAAGCCUUUUAGGCUUAGUGGUGAACGGGUGAGUAACACGUAUCCAAUCUACCCUUAAGUUGGGGAUAACUAGUCGAAAGAUUAGCUAAUACCGAAUAAUAACAUAACUAUCGCAUGAUAGAUAUGUAGAAAGUCGCGUUUGCGACGCUUUUGGAUGAGGGUGCGACGUAUCAGAUAGUUGGUGAGGUAACGGCUCACCAAGUCAAUGACGCGUAGCUGUACUGAGAGGUAGAACAGCCACAAUGGGACUGAGACACGGCCCAUACUCCUACGGGAGGCAGCAGUAGGGAAUUUUUCACAAUGGGCGAAAGCCUUAUGAAGCAAUGCCGCGUGAACGAUGAAGGUCUAAGAGAUUGUAAAGUUCUUUUAUUUGGGAAGAAACGUUUAAAUAGGAAAUGAUUUAAAUUUGACUGUACCAUUUGAAUAAGUAUCGGCUAACUAUGUGCCAGCAGCCGCGGUAAUACAUAGGAUGCAAGCGUUAUCCGGAUUUACUGGGCGUAAAACGAGCGCAGGCGGGUCUGCAAGUUUGGUAUGAAAUCUAGAUGCUCAACGUCUAGCUGUAUCAAAAACUGCAAACCUAGAGUGUAGUAGGGAAUUGGGGAACUCCAUGUGGAGCGGUAAAAUGCGUAGAUAUAUGGAAGAACACCGGUGGCGAAGGCGCCCACUUGGACUAUACACUGACGCUUAGGCUCGAAAAGUGUGGGGAGCAAAUAGGAUUAGAUACCCUAGUAGUCCACACCGUAAACGAUCAUCAUUAAAUGUCGACCCGGAUGGGUCGGUGUUGUAGCUAACGCAUUAAAUGAUGUGCCUGGGUAGUACAUUCGCUAGAAUGAAACUCAAACGGAAUUGACGGGGACCCGCACAAGUGGUGGAGCAUGUUGCUUAAUUUGCCGAUACACGUAGAACCGUACCUAGGUUUGACAUCUACUGCAAAGCUAUAGAAAUAUAGUGGAGGUUAACAAUAUGACAGGUGGUGCAUGGUUGUCGUCAGCUCGUGUCGUGAGAUGUUGGGUUAAGUCCCGCAACGAGCGCAACCCCUUUCGUUAGUUAAUUUUCUAAUCGAUACUGCUACCGCAAGGUAGAGGAAGGUGGGGAUGACGUCAAAUCAUCAUGCCCCUUAUAUCUAGGGCUGCAAACGUGCUACAAUGGUUAUUACAAACUGUUGCCAAACCGUAAGGUGAAGCGAAUCAGAUAAAGAUAGUCUCAGUUCGGAUUGAGGGCUGCAAUUCGCCCUCAUGAAGUUGGAAUCACUAGUAAUCGCGAAUCAGAAAUGUCGCGGGGAUUACGUCCUCGGGUCUGGUACACACCGCCCGCCAAACUAUGGGAGCUAGUAAUAUCUAAAACCGUGCUGUAAACCGUUCGGGGAGGAAUACGUCUAGGGUAGGAUUGGGGAUUGGAGUAAAGUCGUAACAAGGUAUCC